AGGACGAACGCUGGCGGCGUGCUUAACACAUGCAAGUCACGGGGGCUCGCAAGAGCAACCGGCGAACGGGUGCGUAACACGUGAGCAACCUACCGAUUUGUGGGGGAUAGCCGGCCUAACGGCCGGGUAAUACCGCAUACGCUUUCCGGGUCUCCUGACCUGGUGAGGAAACCUCCGGGGCAAAGUCGAGGGGCUCGCGGCCUAUCAGCUAGUUGGCGAGGUCACGGCUCACCAAGGCGACGACGGGUAGC
RNAcentral lists this ribosomal RNA (251 nucleotides) under uncultured soil bacterium. Its description in RNAcentral is "partial 16S ribosomal RNA". It matches the Rfam family "Bacterial small subunit ribosomal RNA", at positions 26 to 287 of the family's 1533-position model. The record is from RNAcentral.